Molecule: ribosomal RNA, 458 nt
Filed under: Salmonella enterica
Lineage: Bacteria; Pseudomonadati; Pseudomonadota; Gammaproteobacteria; Enterobacterales; Enterobacteriaceae
Description: bacterial SSU rRNA
Rfam family: Bacterial small subunit ribosomal RNA
Source: RNAcentral
AAAUUGAAGAGUUUGAUCAUGGCUCAGAUUGAACGCUGGCGGCAGGCCUAACACAUGCAAGUCGAACGGUAGCACAGAGAGCUUGCUCUCGGGUGACGAGUGGCGGACGGGUGAGUAAUGUCUGGGAAACUGCCUGAUGGAGGGGGAUAACUACUGGAAACGGUGGCUAAUACCGCAUAACGUCGCAAGACCAAAGAGGGGGACCUUCGGGCCUCUUGCCAUCAGAUGUGCCCAGAUGGGAUUAGCUAGUUGGUGAGGUAACGGCUCACCAAGGCGACGAUCCCUAGCUGGUCUGAGAGGAUGACCAGCCACACUGGAACUGAGACACGGUCCAGACUCCUACGGGAGGCAGCAGUGGGGAAUAUUGCACAAUGGGCGCAAGCCUGAUGCAGCCAUGCCGCGUGUAUGAAGAAGGCCUUCGGGUUGUAAAGUACUUUCAGCGGGGAGGAAGGUGUUGU